GCGGGGCUAGCUCAGUUGGUAGAGCGUCACGUUCCCAACGUGAAUGUCGCCGGUUCGAAUCCGGUGCCCCGCU
This 73-nucleotide transfer RNA is filed under the name Polyangiaceae bacterium. RNAcentral describes it as "tRNA-Gly". It matches the Rfam family "tRNA". Rfam says of the family: Transfer RNA (tRNA) molecules are approximately 80 nucleotides in length. Their secondary structure includes four short double-helical elements and three loops (D, anti-codon, and T loops). Further hydrogen bonds mediate the characteristic L-shaped molecular structure. tRNAs have two regions of fundamental functional importance: the anti-codon, which is responsible for specific mRNA codon recognition, and the 3' end, to which the tRNAs corresponding amino acid is attached (by aminoacyl-tRNA synthetases). tRNAs cope with the degeneracy of the genetic code in two manners: having more than one tRNA (with a specific anti-codon) for a particular amino acid; and 'wobble' base-pairing, i.e. permitting non-standard base-pairing at the 3rd anti-codon position. The record is from RNAcentral. Lineage: Bacteria; Pseudomonadati; Myxococcota; Polyangiales; Polyangiaceae.